Molecule: ribosomal RNA, 774 nt
Filed under: uncultured Neocallimastigales
Lineage: Eukaryota; Fungi; Neocallimastigomycota; Neocallimastigomycetes; Neocallimastigales
Description: partial large subunit ribosomal RNA
Rfam family: Eukaryotic large subunit ribosomal RNA
Source: RNAcentral
UAUCUCUGUAGAGUCUGCAUAUCAAUAAGCGGAGGAAAAGAAACUAACUAGGAUUCCCUCAGUAACGGCGAGUGAAGCGGGAAGAGCUCAAAUUUGAAAUCUUCAAGGUUCUACCUUGACGAAUUGUAGUUUAAAGAAGUGUUUUCUGUUGGAGUUUUGGUAAAAGUUCUUUGGAAUAGGACAUCAUAGAGGGUGAGAAUCCCGUAUUUGACCAUUAUUUCCAGCUUUGUGAUACACUUUCAAAGAGUCGGAUUGUUUGGGAAUGCAGUCCAAAAUGGGUGGUAAAUUUCAUCUAAAGCUAAAUACUGGCGAGAGACCGAUAGCGAACAAGUACCGUGAGGGAAAGAUGAAAAGAACUUUGAAAAGAGAGUUAAACAGUACGUGAAAUUGUCAAAAGGGAAGCGUUUGACACCAGUGUUGUUUUCUCGAAAAUCAAUUAAGAAUGGCAUGAUUUUGUGUUGUAUUGACCUUAUCAGCUUUCUGCACUCUUUUCUAGUCUUUCUUAAUGCACUUUUCGGUUAACAAGUCAACAUCAAUUUCUUUUGUUGUAAAAGAGUCAUUGGAAGGUGGCUUUCUUUUCGGAGAAAGUGUUUAUAGCCUAUUGCCUCUACAAUCGGAGAGAUUGAGGUCUGCAGCGUAGAUCCUUCGGGGUUAGAUACAUUUGUGCUAAGUUAUAGCCUUUCAUAGACAACUUGUUGACUAUGAUCAGUCAUGUAGCUUACUCGCUUAUGCUAUUUUACCUACGCUUAGGAUGUUGAAGAUGUAGCACAUCAU